RNAcentral lists this transfer RNA (74 nucleotides) under Candidatus Atribacteria bacterium. RNAcentral describes it as "tRNA-Cys". It matches the Rfam family "tRNA". From Rfam's summary of the family: Transfer RNA (tRNA) molecules are approximately 80 nucleotides in length. RNAcentral also lists the same sequence under 2 other names. The record is from RNAcentral. Lineage: Bacteria; Pseudomonadati; Atribacterota; Atribacteria.
GGCGGCAUAGCCAAGCGGGAAGGCAGAGGACUGCAAAUCCUUCAUCCUCGGUUCAAAUCCGAGUGCCGCCUCCA